This 253-nucleotide ribosomal RNA is filed under the name uncultured bacterium. Its description in RNAcentral is "partial 16S ribosomal RNA". It matches the Rfam family "Bacterial small subunit ribosomal RNA", at positions 524 to 776 of the family's 1533-position model. The record is from RNAcentral.
UACAGAGGGGGCAAGCGUUGUUCGGAAUUACUGGGCGUAAAGGGCGCGUAGGCGGCCUUCUAAGUCGAACGUGAAAUCCCCGGGCUCAACCCGGGAACUGCGUCCGAUACUGGAAGGCUUGAAUCCGGGAGAGGGAUGCGGAAUUCCAGGUGUAGCGGUGAAAUGCGUAGAUAUCUGGAGGAACACCGGUGGCGAAGGCGGCAUCCUGGACCGGCGUUGACGCUGAGGAGCGAAAGCCAGGGGAGCAAACGGG